This 484-nucleotide ribosomal RNA is filed under the name uncultured bacterium. RNAcentral's name for it is "partial 16S ribosomal RNA". It matches the Rfam family "Bacterial small subunit ribosomal RNA", at positions 29 to 523 of the family's 1533-position model. The record is from RNAcentral.
AGUGAACGCUGGCGGCGUGCUUAACACAUGCAAGUCGAACGAGAACGGAUUAUAGCUUGCUAUAAUUGUCAGCUAAGUGGCGCACGGGUGAGUAAUGUAUAGGUAAUAUGCCUCUUACUAAGGGAUAACAAAUGGAAACGUUUGCUAAUACCUUAUACUCCUUAUUAACAGAAGUUAAUAAGGGAAAGAUUUAUUGGUAAGAGAUUAGCCUGUAUUGUAUCAGUUAGUUGGUGGGGUAAUGGCUUACCAAGACUAUGACACAUAACUGGUUUUAUAGGAUGAUCAGUCACACUGGAACUGAGACACGGUCCAGACUCCUACGGGAGGCAGCAGUGGGGAAUAUUGCACAAUGGACGAAAGUCUGAUGCAGCAACGCCGCGUGGAGGAUGACACAUUUCGGUGCGUAAACUCCUUUUAUAUGAGAAGAUAAUGACGGUAUUAUAUGAUUAAGCACCGGCUAACUCCGUGCCAGCAGCCGCCGCAG